GCCAGGCAAACUUCCUUCCUUUUUAGC
RNAcentral lists this non-coding RNA (27 nucleotides) under Rattus norvegicus (Norway rat). The record is from RNAcentral. Lineage: Eukaryota; Metazoa; Chordata; Mammalia; Rodentia; Muridae.